UCCGUCUUUGGACGGCAGUUUCGCCGGAGACAUUCAACCGACGAUAGGGGUUGCGCUCGUUAAAGGACUGAACCUAACACCUCACGGCACGAGCUGACGACAGCCAUGUAGCACCUGUAACGCUGCCCCGAAGGGAACACGGUUUCCCGUGCGUUCAACGUCAUGUCAAACCCUGGUAAGGUUCUUCGCGUUGCAUCGAAUUAAACCACACGCUCCGCUGCUUGUGCGGGUCCCCGUCAAUUCCUUUGAGUUUUAACCUUGCGGUCGUACUCCCCAGGCGGACCACUUAUCGCGUUAGCUACUCCACGGAAGGGGUCGAUCCCCCCACGGAUAGUGGUCAUCGUUUACGGCUAGGACUAC
This 360-nucleotide unclassified non-coding RNA is filed under the name uncultured Ktedonobacteraceae bacterium. Its description in RNAcentral is "contains 16S-23S intergenic spacer region". The record is from RNAcentral. Lineage: Bacteria; Bacillati; Chloroflexota; Ktedonobacteria; Ktedonobacterales; Ktedonobacteraceae.